UACGUAGGGAGCGAGCGUUGUCCGGAUUCAUUGGGCGUAAAGAGCGUGUAGGCGGCUGGGUAGGUCCGUUGUGAAAACUCGAGCUCAACCUCGAGACGCCGAUGGAAACCCUCCAGCUAGAGUCCGGAAGAGGAGAGUGGAAUUCCUGGUGUAGCGGUGAAAUGCGCAGAUAUCAGGAAGAACACCCGUGGCUAAGGCGGCUCUCUAGUACGGUACUGACGCUGAGACGCGAAAGCGUGGGGAGCGAACAGG
Molecule: ribosomal RNA, 252 nt
Filed under: uncultured bacterium
Lineage: Bacteria
Description: partial 16S ribosomal RNA
Rfam family: Bacterial small subunit ribosomal RNA
Source: RNAcentral